This 219-nucleotide ribosomal RNA is filed under the name uncultured bacterium. RNAcentral's name for it is "partial 16S ribosomal RNA". It matches the Rfam family "Bacterial small subunit ribosomal RNA", at positions 57 to 305 of the family's 1533-position model. The record is from RNAcentral.
GCAAGUCGAACGAGACCUUCGGGUCUAGUGGCGCACGGGUGCGUAACGCGUGGGAACCUGCCCAAAGGUGCGAAAUAACUCAGGGAAACUUGAGCUAAUACCGCAUGAUGCCGAAAGGCCAAAGAUUUAUCGCCUUUGGAUGGGCCCGCGUCGGAUUAGCUUGUUGGUGGGGUAAGGCCCACCAAGGCGACGAUCCGUAGCUGGUUUGAGAGGAUGAUC